This 353-nucleotide ribosomal RNA is filed under the name uncultured bacterium. RNAcentral's name for it is "bacterial SSU rRNA". It matches the Rfam family "Bacterial small subunit ribosomal RNA", at positions 343 to 713 of the family's 1533-position model. The record is from RNAcentral.
GGGAGGCAGCAGUGGGGAAUAUUGCACAAUGGGGGAAACCCUGAUGCAGCAACGCCGCGUGAGUGAAGAAGUAUUUCGGUAUGUAAAGCUCUAUCAGCAGGGAAGAAAAUGACGGUACCUGACUAAGAAGCCCCGGCUAACUACGUGCCAGCAGCCGCGGUAAUACGUAGGGGGCAAGCGUUAUCCGGAUUUACUGGGUGUAAAGGGAGCGCAGGCGGUCUGGCAAGUCUGAUGUGAAAUCCCGGGGCUCAACCCUGGAACUGCAUUGGAAACUGUCAGACUAGAGUGCCGGAGAGGUAAGUGGAAUUCCUAGUGUAGCGGUGAAAUGCGUAGAUAUUAGGAGGAACACCAGU